GAGCAUGAGCCAGGGUGGCCCAGGGACUCACAGGAAUUCCCCUUCUGCCCUGAGCCCACCAGAGCUGGCUAUACAAUGACAACUUCACCCGCCCCCCCAUGGGCAGCACCUGCUCCCUGGUUCUCCCCUGGUGGCCCUAUUAUCCCGCACCUGCUGCUUCCCCACCUGCUCCCUUUUCUUAGCCCCUUUCCCAUAGCACACCCUGUUCAUCACUAGGCCCAGCUGCCUGCUCUGACAGCCAGCCAGGAAGGGGUGGUAGAACCAGGAGAGGUAGCACUGGCCUCUGGACCCUCUGUCCUAGGACAGAGGGUCCAGAGGCCAGUCCAGCUCUGUUUGACUAAAAGUGUGUAUGCUUACAGUGGACUCCAUUUCAGGGCCUCAGUCUCUCCACCUGUGAAGUGGGAGCAGCAAUCUCUGACCUCAAGUUUCUACAAAAACUUUACUGCCUGGAAGACCUUAGGAUAUCUUGAUCCAAGAUCUGAGUUACAGAGGACAGCCAGAAAAGAAGUGGACCAUGAGGACAAAGAAGGGGGCAAGGGAGGGUGACGCAACCUUCACGUGCAUGAAGAUGCUAAUGGUUCAUUAUUUUAUAUGCUGAAGAAAAAAAUCAAAAGAACUAAAACAAUCCUUAAAACAAAGCAAAGCAGAAAAAAAAGAAUCACUUCUGGGG
Molecule: long non-coding RNA, 670 nt
Filed under: Mus pahari (shrew mouse)
Lineage: Eukaryota; Metazoa; Chordata; Mammalia; Rodentia; Muridae
Description: lncRNA (MGP_PahariEiJ_G0004319.1)
Source: RNAcentral